This 433-nucleotide ribosomal RNA is filed under the name uncultured bacterium. RNAcentral describes it as "partial 16S ribosomal RNA". It matches the Rfam family "Bacterial small subunit ribosomal RNA", at positions 29 to 507 of the family's 1533-position model. The record is from RNAcentral.
AACGAACGCUGGCGGCAUGCCUAACACAUGCAAGUCGAACGAGAACUUCGGGUCUAGUGGCGCACGGGUGCGUAACGCGUGGGAACCUGCCCUUAGGUUCGGAAUAACUCCCCGAAAGGGGUGCUAAUACCGGAUAAUGUCUUCGGGCCAAAGAUUUAUCGCCUUUGGAUGGGCCCGCGUUGGAUUAGCUAGUUGGUAGGGUAAAAGCCUACCAAGGCGACGAUCCAUAGCUGGUCUGAGAGGAUGAUCAGCCACACUGGGACUGAGACACGGCCCAGACUCCUACGGGAGGCAGCAGUGGGGAAUAUUGGACAAUGGGCGAAAGCCUGAUCCAGCAAUGCCGCGUGAGUGAUGAAGGCCUUAGGGUUGUAAAGCUCUUUUACCCGGGAUGAUAAUGACAGUACCGGGAGAAUAAGCUCCGGCUAACUCCGUG